GAGGACACGGGUCACUGGCAACGGUGGGGGGUGUGAAGCUCCUCGGACAAUGUAUUCCCGGACGUAUCGGGCGAGCUGUUCCCGCGAGGGGACUGUUCGGAGACUCCCAGCAGCAAGGGAUUGAGGAG
Non-coding RNA from Candidatus Burkholderia pumila, 128 nucleotides. The record is from Rfam. Lineage: Bacteria; Pseudomonadati; Pseudomonadota; Betaproteobacteria; Burkholderiales; Burkholderiaceae.